Molecule: ribosomal RNA, 439 nt
Filed under: uncultured bacterium
Lineage: Bacteria
Description: partial 16S ribosomal RNA
Rfam family: Bacterial small subunit ribosomal RNA
Source: RNAcentral
CUACGGGAUGCUCCAGUGGGGAAUAUUGCACAAUGGAGGGAACUCUGAUGCAGCAACGCCGCGUGGAGGAUGACGCAUUUCGGUGUGUAAACUCCUUUUAUAUAGGAAGAUAAUGACGGUACUAUAUGAAUAAGCACCGGCUAACUCCGUGCCAGCAGCCGCGGUAAUACGGAGGGUGCAAGCGUUACUCGGAAUCACUGGGCGUAAAGCGCAUGCAGGCGGUUAAAUAAGUUGGAAGUGAAAUCCUAUGGCUCAACCAUAGAACUGCUUCCAAAACUGUUUGACUAGAGUCUGGGAGGGGAAGAUGGAAUUAGUUGUGUAGGGGUAAAAUCCGUAGAGAUAACUAGGAAUACCAAAAGCGAAGGCGAUCUUCUGGAACAGUACUGACGCUGAGAUGCGAAAGCGUGGGGAGCAAACAGGAUUAGAUACCCGCGUAGUC